UAGUCAUUCAGGCGUUCGCGAGGUCAGCUGCGUCCCCUCGCCGUGAUUAGAACAUCUGCUGUUGCCACGAGAAACGCCCGACGUUUACAAACAAAGGUCACCAGUUAACACGGAAACCAGUUAAUCCGUAACACCUGUUCAGAUUAACACAGACCGAGCAGAGAGAGCGGAAAAUAAAGAUAAUGCCACAUAAAAGGACCCGGAAUUAUUAGCCCAGAAAGUGGAAAAUGUGCACGACAGAAAAGAUAAACGGGAUUAUUAAAUCUGUGGAGGCGGUGAGAGAGAGCAGCGAGGAGGAGGGAGGCGGUGCCCCGGCACAGGACACACUGCGUCCUGACUAACAGCGAGAUGAAGGCAGAGAAUGGACAUGUGAAGGACAUAUUUGAGGAUGGCGUUGAAAUGGAGGAUGAAUGUACUGCCCCCGUAUUGUUUACAUCUGCGUCUGGCCAGUCCUCUCCGACCUCAACCCCACGCCCCAGGGCGGAGAGGAGGGGGGGGCAUCCAGACGUUUGGCUCCUACCAGCAGCUUCUCACUGAACUCUACCUGCAUAACCCAACUUCAACACAGAAACACCGCCGCUGCCGCUUGGGAUUGAUCGAAACUGAUUGAGACGACGAAAUUACAGACGCUGCUCUGUUUAAGCUGCCAGGUCGACAAUAUGUUAAAAUACCACAGGAUGAAAAAAUGGCCAAGACUAUAAAACCACCGGUUACACAAGAUAGAAAUGUCAGCUGGAGAAAAUCUGUAGGUACCAGUAGACUAUGAACAAUCUAAUAAAUGAAUACAGUAGAAAAUAUGGAGAAAAGCAUGACUGUUGCAACUCCCAACUGUUAUUUCAUGUUGAUGUGAAUUAUUUCCAGUGUCUUAAUGUCAUUUCAACAAAUACAAACGCCCGAACAAGAUUUAUUUGCAUUUUUUUUAUUGUGUUGCCUUGAGAUUAUCAAACAAAGGAGUAUUAAAGAGUGUAUAACUUCUGCCGAUCUGCAACAGCAGUGACAAAACUGUGUCACGCGUUACGGUGGCCUAUAGUUGACAUAAAUAACAGAAGUUCUGUAUCACCAUGUAGAGGUGGAACAUGGCGAGAGAUUGAAGGAGAGAUUAUUAAACAGAAACAGGGAAUAUCACCGUGCUGAAAACUAGAAUAAUAAAACUGCCUUGAGUUUUGUCUUUUGUUUCUUUUGUGAUGUUACUGAAUUCACGUUUAACUGCUGCUUUAUUGAGAUAUAUCAAACUGUGAUUUAAUUGUCACUUUAUCUUAAUACACCAACAUGGAAGCUGGUCCAUUAAAUGCAGUCUGCUCGACUCACUUUGUUUU
Long non-coding RNA from Myripristis murdjan (pinecone soldierfish), 1316 nucleotides. RefSeq lists it as uncharacterized. The record is from RefSeq and is a predicted model, not a curated record. NCBI's taxonomy places the organism in Eukaryota, Metazoa, Chordata, Actinopteri, Holocentriformes, Holocentridae. The transcript is spliced from 3 exons.